This 461-nucleotide ribosomal RNA is filed under the name uncultured bacterium. RNAcentral's name for it is "partial 16S ribosomal RNA". It matches the Rfam family "Bacterial small subunit ribosomal RNA", at positions 338 to 795 of the family's 1533-position model. The record is from RNAcentral.
CCUACGGGAGGCAGCAGUGAGGAAUAUUGGUCAAUGGCCGGAAGGCUGAACCAGCCAAGCCGCGUGAAGGACGAAGGUGCCAAGCAUUGUAAACUUCUUUUGUCAAGGGACAAAAUCAGGCUCGAGAGCCUGACCGAGGGUACUUGAAGAAAAAGCAUCGGCUAACUCCGUGCCAGCAGCCGCGGUAAUACGGAGGAUGCGAGCGUUAUCCGGAUUUACUGGGUGUAAAGGGAGCGUAGGUGGCAUGGUAAGCCAGAAGUGAAAACCCGGGGCUCAACCCCGCGGAUUGCUUUUGGAACUAUCAGGCUGGAGUGCUGGAGGGGUAAGCGGAAUUCCUAGUGUAGCGGUGAAAUGCGUAGAUAUUAGGAGGAACACCGGUGGCGAAGGCGGCUUACUGGACAGAAACUGACACUGAGGCUCGAAAGCGUGGGGAGCAAACAGGAUUAGAUACCCUGGUAGUC